RNAcentral lists this long non-coding RNA (458 nucleotides) under Equus asinus (donkey). RNAcentral describes it as "lncRNA (ENSEASG00005028511.1)". Lineage: Eukaryota; Metazoa; Chordata; Mammalia; Perissodactyla; Equidae. The record is from RNAcentral.
AGAAGAGACAUAGACACACAGGGAGGAGACAGCCUUGUGAUGAUGAAGGCGAUGAUUGGAGUGAUGAAGCUACAAGCAGAGGUUCCUCCUGGAAAAGGAACGUAAAUCUUGUCAGUGCCUGAGGAUCGGAUACACACUGAAUUGUCUGACAACUUGGGGGUGGAAGGACACUCUAAGGAAGCCAACUACAGAGGAGCAGGACACAAAAAUUCAUUGUAAGACAGAAACUUCCUUAUGAAAGGAGCACACUAAUCAGACAGGCUGCUGUAGGUGCCUUCACUGUAGGCAGCUGCCUGGAAGGACGAAUUCUGGGGAGGCGGAAGCUGAAAUGAGCUCUGCAGUGGAUGCACCUGGAUCCAGAUCCCAGCUUAGCUACUCUCUAGCUGUGACAAUAUGGGCGAAUCACUUCAUGACUCAGUUUCCUGCUCUGUAAAAUGGAGAUUAAAAAAAAACCCUUU